GGAUAAAGGACUGAGACCUCCCAUUCCUUGCUGUAAUGCUUCUUACAGGAGCCUCAGCAGAAUGUGGGAAAGUGUUUGCUCUGUUGUUCUGUGAGAGCAACGAAAGGCUUAGGGAAACUGCUGAGCACCUGGGAAGUGAGGUUUGAAGGAAGAGGAGGCACCUUGGAACUUCUCCCUUGGGUCCAUCCUGGCGCAGGAGCCCUGCUCUGAAACCUGAUCCUGCUGGAUGGGUUCCAGCCGGCCGAGAACACCCCUCGGGCUGCGUCCGCGGCUUUCGAGGAGCCUCCCUCCUUCUGAGAGAACAAUGUCAGCGUGGCUGCCGGCCAGAGAGCAUCCCAGAGCAUCCCAGAGCAUCCCAGAGCAUCCCAGAGAGGGGAGGUCAGGACCCCGCUCCGUUUUGCACCAGGAGCACCGAGGAGGGCUGGGCUCACGGUCUGAGGGAAGCCCUGCGAGAGCUGCCUUCCCCUCAGGCCUCCUCCUACAAAUCUUUCCACGCUGCAAACAGAAAUUUGCAAAUCUAGGCCAAGCAUUCCCUGCUCCUAUUUCACCACCCAUGCUGUCGGAGGACGGUUGUGCUGUGUGCUAUGGAGACGCAGCACCUCAGGAUAAACCUGGACCGCUCUGCUCCGUGCUCAUGCGGCCCAGUGGGGUCCUCUUCUAUACCUGGACCAUUACCCUGGGACUAAUUAAAAUAAUUAACAAGUGUAAUUAACUGUUGAGAGUUUUAGCACAUUAUAUCAGCAACAAUUAAAUAAAUUGCCCGUUUUGUCUUGCAAAGAAAAGACAGAGAGGGGAACAAGGAGGAGGGAGGUGGAGAGACUGAUGCUGUGGCACGGGGAAGUGAAUAGGGGUCGGUGGCUCUUGUGUUGGAAGACAAAGCAGACAAAGCUGUGCCCCAUGGAAUUACCGAGUGGCAGAUGCAGAUCGGCCACAUUUCCCGCAGCGUGUAAUUAAGCUGAGGAGCUCAUUGCCCAAAUGAAUCCCCAGAUCCGGGGGGCACGGAGUGCUGGGGGCCCUGUGUUGUCCCCAGGUCCCUGCUGCCUGCUCCUGCUGUGCAUUCGGUGCCACAACACCGCGGUGGCUGCUCCGCAGAGUUAGGGGACGCGUCCCAGCCAUGUUCCAGCACUGCUCAGCCUGGCUCCAGCCUCCAGCACGGAGCCUUGGGGUUCGCCUCUCCUCACCAUCAGUGACCCCGGGCUGCAUUUUGGGCAGCACAGGAGCCCAGCGGGAUAGAGCAGAACCCACGUGCAGGUGCCCCUCUGCCCAAGGGACAGGGACAGCGGCUGAGCCAAUCCUGAGGUGAGGGGAGCAAGUAGGUGCCCUGCUUUGCUUUGUGCACCUUGCUGAAAUGCGUGAGCCCAAAGGGAAAGAAACAGCAGAAAUCCAAGCAAAUAAGGAAGAGAUCCAAGCAAAUACGAGGCCCAUCACAGUCAGUGGAGGUCCCUCUGCAGGCUGAACACAGGGAGGGCUCCAUCCCCACCUAUUUCUGCUCCAAGCAUGCCAGCGCGACUCAGCUGCCUUUCCUGAUUGAAAUCUAACACCUUUUAUACGGUUCACGUCUCAUAACUCGGGGGGGGGGGGUUUAAAGAAAAAUUAAUUCCUUGGACUUUGGCACCAGCGGGCAGCGGUCGGGGCAGAAGCUGUUCUCCUGCCUUGCAGAGCCACGCUCCCCCCCAGCAUCUCCCGUCAGCAUCUUCCUUCAGCCCAUUUGUUUUAGGGGAACACAAAAGCUCUGCUUUCUGCCCGUUUUCCCCCCCGUGCCGCCCGGUGCCCCCACACAGCCCCAGUGCCCACGGCCUCCCGCUGCCAUCUGCAUGACAAAGCCCACUGCUCCGCGCCUUUUGGGGAUUGCCCGCACCACAAACCUUAUGGGCUUCAUCAAUAGCUCGGAUGAUUUUAGGGUCUAGGUUUUUAUUCACUACAGCGUUGGCUGACAAAGCCCAUUACAUCAUCUGUUUGGAAGAGAAAUUCUCUGCAGCUGCUUGUGUGGCACAGGGGGGUUUGCUGGAAAAAAUAAGGCAGAUUUUUUUUUUUCCGUUUGGUUUUGUUUCAUUCUUUCAGGGCAAUUUUCCUUCAAAUUGCUGGAAAACUGCACGUUAAAAAGGCUUCCAAAGUGGAAAGGAAAAGGGCAGAGCGCAGCAGCUUUAAGCAUUCUUUUUUUUUUUUGCUUUUUUUCAUUUCCCUUCCAAAAAGCCGGGGGGAGGGCAGCCCCCGCUCAGGGCCGUGUGUGGGGCUGGGGUGUGGGGACAGCGGGGUGCCCCGUCCUGUCCCAUUGCUGCUGGGAAGUCCUCCUGGCUCAGCACCGGUGUGAGCAGAGGAAUCCCUCCUGAGCUCAAAAGAGGCUGAAGUUGUAGCUUGGGUUGCUGUUGGAAUGGCUGCUAAGCUCGAAAGAAAGGUUUAUAAUUCAUAGGGUAACACAGCGCACGGCGCUAUGGAAAACAGCUCUUCACUCACUGCAAUUAAGAGUGAGAAAACCCCAUAACUGCAGAUAAAAAUCCGUUAUUAUAGAUGAGUGUGACAGACCACUGCGUUUCCCCAUCAGGUGAGCAGCACGGAUGGGCCGAGCCUCGUUAGCACAGGGCUUUCACAAGUGGGUUCUGAGACAUUUAAACUGUAUCCAGGAAAAGAUGGGUCCUAAAUGCACCGCAGGUGUCACUGCCGAAUGUGUCCUUGGGGGUAAUCCGGAUGUGCUGAGGAGCACGGAGGCGCAGCGCUGACACAGCACGGUGGGGGUGGGCUGGAGGUCCCAACCUGAAUGAGUGGAUGGCUGAGCGAUGGGAAUGCUGCCGGGUUGUGGCAGCCUCGGCAAUGGGGAGAAGGUGUGGGGGACGGGGGGUGAUCCGGGUCUGGGAGUUUCUUUUAGCAGCAGAGAUUGGCUCACGUUCAGUUCAUGUUUUAUCUCGGAUAGGAAUUGAUUUUUUUUUAAUAGGUCGAGAGUUCAGGAAAGCUAAAAUAAUAAUAAUAAUAAUAAUAAUAAUAAUAAUAAUAAUAAUAAACCAGGAUCUGUCUUUUUCUGCUCCCUGAAUACAUAGGGCUGCUUUCCGGCACACAUUUCAUUUUCAGGUGAGUUCCUUUGUUGCCAUAGCAAUAUUACUCGUGUUUGGAAAGCCGCAGCUUUGGUUUUCUCCCAGGCCAUGCUGUCACACGCAGGCAGCACCCCGAGCCCAGCACAGAGCCGCACUGAGCUGCGCCGCAGCACGGAGGCAGAGGGGAGGGCCAUGGGGGAGCGCAGGGCUCCCACCCAAAGAUGCUCCUCUCUUCUCACCCUUCCACCCACACCUCACAGCGUGGCUUUGCAGUCAGGUCAAAGGAAACCCGGUGGCUUUGCUAAUUAGCACUUAUUAACGACGCUUCUCUGGCUGUGCCCGCAGCUCUCCCUCCAGGCACUGGCGCACAUGCAGCAACAAAACCCGUGUGCGCCCCAGAGAGCUCAGAAUCCCGUAAAUCCCAUUUGCUGCCACACAGGUGUCUCAUUUCCUUGCUCCGCAGAUCCCGGGCCCAGUGAAUUUAUUUUAUUACUCUGCUGAAGUAAAGGCUUUAAAUACUGCGGGACGUGCAUGACGGGGGUCUGUAACAGCAUUAAGAAAGGCACGAGGAAAAGGGAUUCCCCCGUAAGGGAACGGUUCUGUGGUCAUUUGGGUAAUAUGUAUUCUGUACAUGUGCCAGGAAUUAAGAUUUGAUUUUAAGUAUUUAUAUAUUAAAUAUUUAAUCUAGUCACAUCUAGUCAUUUGAUCCAGGAAG
Molecule: long non-coding RNA, 3741 nt
Organism: Gallus gallus (chicken)
Lineage: Eukaryota; Metazoa; Chordata; Aves; Galliformes; Phasianidae
Source: Ensembl